UUGAAAUAAAUCUGAUGAGUUGCUGCUGGUUCUCUCGGGAACAGGUGCACACUUGUCAUCUUUAUAUCACCACCUGUGCACCUUUUGUAGACCUGGAUAUCCUUCUGAAUGCCUGGCGUUUGGGUUUGGGGAUUGACUUUUUUGUCUUUUCUUACACUUCCAGGUCUAUGUUUUCAUCAUUAUACCCCAAUGUAUGUUACAGAAUGUAAUAAAGGGCCUUUGCCUAUAAUUUUUA
This 235-nucleotide unclassified non-coding RNA is filed under the name uncultured Cortinarius. Its description in RNAcentral is "sequence contains ITS1". The record is from RNAcentral. Lineage: Eukaryota; Fungi; Basidiomycota; Agaricomycetes; Agaricales; Cortinariaceae.